This 146-nucleotide small RNA is filed under the name Flavobacterium sp. 1. Its description in RNAcentral is "Flavo-1 RNA". It matches the Rfam family "Flavo-1 RNA". Lineage: Bacteria; Pseudomonadati; Bacteroidota; Flavobacteriia; Flavobacteriales; Flavobacteriaceae. The record is from RNAcentral.
UUCUGCCCCAGAUAGCAGUGGAAAGCUUCGAGAUUUAGAAACUUAUUUUUUCUUGAGAAGGCAGAGCGACCAGAGGAAGCUCCUGCCAGCUCAUUAGAAAAAAAAGUUUUCUAAACGAGAACUUGCAACGGAUAGCUGGAAUAGGC